AUUUUCGUGGCGCUUUCAAAUCCAGAACAAUCGCUGCCCCCUCUACUAACUCUACUGACAGACUAUGGUAGAAUAUCAUACUACCGUCUGAAUAAGGAGAAAACACAAGCCCUACCGAUAAACCUACCAGGGCCAAAUGUAACUACCCUUAAGAACUCCUUUGAACUCGACUGGCGAACAACAUCUAUAACGUACUUAGGGGUUAAAAUCGCCGCUCCUAUUAGCAACAUAGUAAAGCUUCAUUAUAAGCCCCUCAUACAUCUAUGCACCACGGAAAUACA
Molecule: non-coding RNA, 281 nt
Organism: Pelobates cultripes (western spadefoot toad)
Lineage: Eukaryota; Metazoa; Chordata; Amphibia; Anura; Pelobatidae
Source: the annotation of a GenBank genome assembly